CAAAUCUGAAUCAAACUAAGAAAUAAGUUAAAACUUUCAACAACGGAUCUCUUGGUUCUGGCAUCGAUGAAGAACGCAGCGAAAUGCGAUAAGUAAUGUGAAUUGCAGAAUUCAGUGAAUCAUCGAAUCUUUGAACGCACAUUGCGCCCAUUAGUAUUCUAGUGGGCAUGCCUGUUCGAGCGUCAUUUCAACCCUUAAGCCUAGCUUAGUGUUGGGAGACUGCCUAAUACGCAGCUCCUCAAAACCAGUGGCGGAGUCUGUUCGUGCUCUGAGCGUAGUAAUUUUUUAUCUCGCUUCUGCAAGCCGGCCAGACGACAGCCAUAAACCGCACCCUCUCGGGGGGCACUUUUUUAAUGGUUGACCUCGGAUCAGGUAGGAAUACCCGCUGAACUUAAGCAUAUCAAUAAGCGGAGGAAAAGAAACCAACAGGGAUUGCCCUAGUAACGGCGAGUGAAGCGGCAACAGCUCAAAUUUGAAAUCUGGCCUUCUGGUCCGAAUUGUAAUUUGGUAGAGGAUGCUUUUUGGUUAGGUACCCUUUUCGAGUUCCUUG
This 550-nucleotide ribosomal RNA is filed under the name fungal sp. RNAcentral describes it as "eukaryotic LSU rRNA". The stretch from base 32 to 185 matches the Rfam family "5.8S ribosomal RNA". The record is from RNAcentral. Lineage: Eukaryota; Fungi.